This 253-nucleotide ribosomal RNA is filed under the name uncultured bacterium. RNAcentral describes it as "partial 16S ribosomal RNA". It matches the Rfam family "Bacterial small subunit ribosomal RNA", at positions 524 to 776 of the family's 1533-position model. The record is from RNAcentral.
UAUGUAGGGGGCAAGCGUUGUCCGGAUUUAUUGGGCGUAAAGAGCGUGUAGGCGGCCUGACAGGUCUGCUGUGAAAACUCGAGGCUCAACCUCGAGAUGUCGGCGGAAACCGUCUGGCUAGAGUCCGGAAGAGGAGAGUGGAAUUCCUGGUGUAGCGGUGAAAUGCGCAGAUAUCAGGAAGAACACCGAUGGCGAAGGCAGCUCUCUGGGACGGUACUGACGCUGAGACGCGAAAGCGUGGGGAGCGAACAGG